Molecule: ribosomal RNA, 445 nt
Filed under: uncultured bacterium
Lineage: Bacteria
Description: bacterial SSU rRNA
Rfam family: Bacterial small subunit ribosomal RNA
Source: RNAcentral
UCCAGACUCCUACGGGAGGCAGCAGUGGGGAAUAUUGCACAAUGGGGGAAACCCUGAUGCAGCGACGCCGCGUGAGUGAAGAAGUAUCUCGGUACGUAAAGCUCUCUCAGCAGGGAAGAAAAUGACGGUACCUGACUAAGAAGCCCCGGCUAACUACGUGCCAGCAGCCGCGGUAAUACGUAGGGGGCAAGCGUUAUCCGGAUUUACUGGGUGUAAAGGGAGCGUAGACGGUGCAGCAAGUCUGAUGUGAAAGGGCGGGGCCCAACCCCGGGACUGCAUUGGAAACUGUUGAACUGGAGUACAGGAGAGGUAAGCGGAAUUCCUAGUGUAGCGGUGAAAUGCGUAGAUAUUAGGAGGAACACCAGUGGCGAAGGCGGCUUACUGGACUGUAACUGACGUUGAGGCUCGAAAGCGUGGGGAGCGAACAGGAUGAGAUACCCGAGUA